Long non-coding RNA from Gasterosteus aculeatus aculeatus (three-spined stickleback), 2046 nucleotides. Lineage: Eukaryota; Metazoa; Chordata; Actinopteri; Perciformes; Gasterosteidae. The record is from Ensembl.
AAGGACACGUUACACCUUGCAAACAUCCUCUAUGCUGAAUCCAGGUCUUCUUAAAGUUCACUGCAUCAUUUUUUUCCCACAUGGGCUGUAGAGUUCUCAUUGGAUACUGUUAUUGAGAAAUGAGCACAACGCAAUUGAUCUUUGUCAAAAUCUAAAAAACUGUCCGUUGUGUAUACUGAGUAGACCUGUGUUCUUCAUCCUCUCGCUGUGUAUUUGGUAUAGAGCCUUCUCAAAAUGUAUUAAAAAGCCGAGUUAUAAUCCACAAAUAGUUACCCGAGCGCAGCUCACAGGCGCUUGGAGAUGCUGCAAGAUGGAGUGCAGACAGAGAUUAACCAACCUGUUUGCCCUGUGUGCAAACCGAUUUAGAUCAAGCACAGCACUGGACAGAUGUUAACCCAGAUGUUUUAUUAUUUUCCAGAAAUGAAACCUCUGUGCUGGAUGUGGAUCAGUCAAGUGAGUCUCCAGCUGAUUUGGUGUAAACACCAUCUGCAGAAGAAGGAACACCUCUGUUAUUGCAGGUGUUAAUGUUGCACCGGUUAUGUUCAGUCUCUUACUAGUAGGCAUAGAGCUCAUGGAGAGUGCAUUAACAUGGAAGCUAUUUUUAAAAAAUCCAAAUCCAAGUUUAUCAAGGAGAAGGACGUCUUCGAGACGCAUUCUUAACUAUGCUUGAACAGCACAAAAAGCUUAUUAAACAUUUGGUAAUUUCCCCAUAAGUGCCACAAUGCUGGAUGAUAAUGUCCCACUGUGUUUCAGCUUCCUACCAACAUGCUUAUAUUUUGACUUAUUAAUAAAGGAAAACACAAAUGAAGCAAUGCACUUCAACCACUAUAAAGCUGUCAAGUCAAGUGGGAUUCAUCCAAGCAAAGUGUUUUAACUCCAUCCAGCCAGUUUUGUAAUGAUUUAUUAAUUUAUUGCAUUUAUUAAUGUACAUGAUCCAGGGAAAGACAAUGAACUGUGUCCGGUCCUGCAAGACUGCAAGUAAUUCAGUUCUCUGUUAAGGACAGCAGACUUCCCCAAGAUUACAAAGUUUUAUGUCAGGUCUCUGGUCUCAUGGAGGAAGGUGAGCAGUCGGACACAUUCGGACACAUUUGGGAUCUGUUAUUGUGUGUGCAUAAAGGUUUAAUCAAAAGACUGUUUAGAUGCUUUUUCAAGUCAACCCUGGAAAUGCUUAUUGACAAAUCUUUAUUUUUCUCUACUUUUCAUUGACAGUGACUGUUAAAUGUACUAUACACAAACGUUAGUUUGGUUUAGCUGAAUGCUAUAGUAACAUGUAACAUCAUCAGGACACAUGUAGUGUCCAGUAAUAGAGGCCUACGUUUAUGUAAAACAGAUUUUGAUGUUGAGUGGGUUAUUUGUACGUAAUGGCUCAAACAAUUAGAGUACAACAAUUUCACUGGUAAUCACCCCUUCUGUUUGUGUCAAGAAGCCAUGUGCAAGUGGGUGUACUGCAAAUUGUAGACAUUUGUACAUUUGUAAUGUUGCUUUUAAAAUUUCUCAAAAUCUGUUGUGAACAAUUAACUAGUGUUCAUAGAUUUCCAAUGUUGGACACAGCCUGAGUGUUUUUCAGUUUAUUUUGUUUGAAUGUGUGCGAAUGACACCGGCUAAAAUGUUCUAUUCGUAGAUUAAUUAUAUAGAUCUCAACGAUUACCUUGUAUGUCCCUGCUCACAGAUGGAGGGUCUCUCUCUAACGCGUAUGUAACUUAGCAGCUAUUCGAGGCACAAGCUUAGCCAAUAAGCUGCUGCUGAUCCUGGCUUCCAGAGGAACAUGUAUACCUCUCACUUUUCACUGCCUGGCAGUGCCAAUUAGGCUGACAUGACAAGUUAGCCACUUCUCACCUUGAUACAAUUUGAAGUGUGCCACUUGUUGUCUAAUGCAAAAUCAGGGUUUGCAUCUAAAACUCUCUUGGCCACGUUGUGCAAAGGUCUACAUCUUUGUAUGGUACAGCCAUCUCCUAUCUAGUCCACCUGUACCCACCUCAUUUGUUAACGUAAAACAACUAUUAUAGCCCUGGUGCACGUCUGUACGCCAAGAAACUUAUUUCUAUU